UGGCAGACGGGUGAGUAACGCGUGGGAACAUACCUCUUGGUUCGGAACAACACAGGGAAACUUGUGCUAAUACCGGAUAAGCCCUUACGGGGAAAGAUUUAUCGCCGAGAGAUUGGCCCGCGUCUGAUUAGCUAGUUGGUGUGGUAAAGGCGCACCAAGGCGACGAUCAGUAGCUGGUCUGAGAGGAUGAUCAGCCACAUUGGGACUGAGACACGGCCCAA
RNAcentral lists this ribosomal RNA (221 nucleotides) under uncultured bacterium. RNAcentral describes it as "partial 16S ribosomal RNA". It matches the Rfam family "Bacterial small subunit ribosomal RNA", at positions 96 to 334 of the family's 1533-position model. The record is from RNAcentral.